RNAcentral lists this long non-coding RNA (309 nucleotides) under Ananas comosus (pineapple). Its description in RNAcentral is "long non-coding RNA (ACOM_LNC009033)". The record is from RNAcentral. Lineage: Eukaryota; Viridiplantae; Streptophyta; Magnoliopsida; Poales; Bromeliaceae.
AAAUCUACUAAUUCUACUUUCUAUUUCGCUAUCCACAGCUCAUCCAAUUGACUUCUAAGUUUUCCUCUAUAUUAGAUUCAUAUCAAUUACAAUUCUGCUCAUAAGGUUUCAUCUACCUUUACCGUUUGCUCAUAAGGUUUCAUCUACCUUUACCGUUUGCUCACAACGUUUCAUCUACCUUUACAAAGCUAUCCACCCGACUCGGUCUUGAGUCAAUCAUCCGCAGAAUACCGCGCAAAGCCAGACUCGAGGUGAAGGACGGCUCAUAUGCACCUCAGCCUUAAAUCCACUUAACUGGGAUACAACUAC